RNAcentral lists this ribosomal RNA (485 nucleotides) under uncultured bacterium. RNAcentral describes it as "partial 16S ribosomal RNA". It matches the Rfam family "Bacterial small subunit ribosomal RNA", at positions 28 to 523 of the family's 1533-position model. The record is from RNAcentral.
GACGAACGCUGGCGGCGUGCUUAACACAUGCAAGUCGAACGGUGAAAGCGGAGCUUGCUCCGCUGGAUCAGUGGCGAACGGGUGAGUAACACGUGGGCAACCUGCCCCUCGCUUCGGGAUAACUCCGGGAAACCGGGGCUAAUACCGGAUAUGACCUCCUUGGGCAUCCUUGGAGGUGGAAAGUUUUUCGGUGAGGGAUGGGCCCGCGGCCUAUCAGCUUGUUGGUGAGGUAGUGGCUCACCAAGGCGACGACGGGUAGCCGGCCUGAGGGGGGGACCGGCCACACUGGGACUGGGACACGGCCCAAACUCCUACGGGAGGCAGCAGUGGGGAAUAUGGCGCAAUGGGCGAAAGCCUGACGCAGCAACGCCGCGUGCGGGAUGACGGCCUUCGGGUUGUAAACCGCUUUCAGCAGGGAAGAAGCCGCAAGGUGACGGUACCUGCAGAAGAAGCACCGGCUAACUACGUGCCAGCCGCCGCAGUAA